RNAcentral lists this ribosomal RNA (426 nucleotides) under uncultured Azoarcus sp. RNAcentral's name for it is "bacterial SSU rRNA". It matches the Rfam family "Bacterial small subunit ribosomal RNA", at positions 356 to 774 of the family's 1533-position model. Lineage: Bacteria; Pseudomonadati; Pseudomonadota; Betaproteobacteria; Rhodocyclales; Zoogloeaceae. The record is from RNAcentral.
GGGGAAUUUUGGACAAUGGGGGCAACCCUGAUCCAGCCAUGCCGCGUGAGUGAAGAAGGCCUUCGGGUUGUAAAGCUCUUUCGGACGGAAAGAAAACGUGUGGGCUAAUAUCCUGCGCGGAUGACGGUACCUUGACAAGAAGCACCGGCUAACUACGUGCCAGCAGCCGCGGUAAUACGUAGGGUGCGAGCGUUAAUCGGAAUUACUGGGCGUAAAGCGUGCGCAGGCGGUUGAGUAAGACAGGCGUGAAAUCCCCGGGCUUAACCUGGGAACUGCGCUUGUGACUGGUCGGCUAGAGUACGGCAGAGGGGGGUGGAAUUCCACGUGUAGCAGUGAAAUGCGUAGAGAUGUGGAGGAACACCGAUGGCGAAGGCAGCCCCCUGGGCCGAUACUGACGCUCAUGCACGAAAGCGUGGGUAGCAAACA